Molecule: long non-coding RNA, 1968 nt
Organism: Octopus bimaculoides (California two-spot octopus)
Lineage: Eukaryota; Metazoa; Mollusca; Cephalopoda; Octopoda; Octopodidae
Source: RefSeq, a predicted model, not a curated record
GAAAGAGACACGAUGGUGGUAGACGCAGAAGACCGAAAGGCUCAGCCUCUCACCAGACUUGAAAAUGAACGGAAGUUACAGUGGUUUCGUCUAAAUCAUUAAAUUCUAGUUCGCACUAAAUGUAAUUAUGACAACGACUACUAUGGCAAGGAGAUGGCGGUAAUAACAAAGAAGUGAGAAAGAGAAUGACAACGACAAAAGAAAAUGAAAAAAGAAUUGUCUUGAAAUAAACGUACAAUGUUUGUGUUUAAUAUAUACAUAUCUUGUAAACACUGUUUUUCCUUCCACUUUUACUCACACUUCUCCUCUUCCGGCUGCUUGCAGUUAUCAACGUCCAGGCAGGCAGUGGCAGUCAAUGCAUCCAAGCUAACAGGCGGCGAUUCUUUCUUUAUGUGCUCUUUCACAGUCCCAAUCGACUCACCUCAUAUCAUCUCUGAUGAUGUAUGUCAUGACUCAGCAACUAGCUUAUCUUACAAUGAAAAUAUCUGGCUGAAAACUUGCAACCGUUAAAGAUCGUUCCUCUCAUUAACUAAUCAUAUGUUAUGGUGAUGCAUGAUAAAUGCUUUACAAGAAUAACGAGCGAACGAAUUUUGCCUAUUGUUGUUAAGCUGCAGUUAAUAAACAACAGUAAACAAAUAUGUUACACGAGACAAUAAAGGAGUCCGAAAGACCUGCCAGAAAUAGUAACCAAAUCGCCCUCGAAUCACACAAAUGUGUUUAAAAAAGAACACAUAAUGUAGUUCUGUUCUUUUCUGUUAAUUAUGUAAGAUUGCUAUUUGUAUUUAUGCAAUAAACGCAACGGUCUCUAAUUCGUUGCAAAUGUAAGAUCUUGACUGACAACACAAAUAUACAAAUGUAUACCUCUUCUGUCGAAAACUUAUUUCAGGGAAGUAAAUUGGAGUAGCAGUUUAAGGUUUGCAGUAUAUUGGUUUAUGGUAACUUAUGGUUUGCAGUAUAUUAUGAAUGGAAAACAUUGAACAGCAACACGAGGAAACAUUUUGGAAUAUGUAUGAGAAAGCAAUAUAAGUUAUAAAAAAUUAUGAAAAUAUUGAUACACUGCAAAAAAGAAACCACUGUGAAGCAUAGACUCAGGUGAAAUUCCUCUCUCCCAUUUAUUGUAUAUACGUGCAUUUGAACGUAGCAGGGAACAACUAGCCUUUGGCCACUAUUUGUAUCCUGUUGUAUCCACUACUCUGGUUGGUAUUGGCGCAAUUUGUCUUUUACUUGAUUACACCAACUUGCCGUGUAUAACCAAUCGGAGGCUUUAAAAAGGAUUACAUAGGACAGCCUGUUUACUACCCUGUUUGAAUCUACAGUUCCUUAUAAAAACUCAGCUUUUCGUCAUUCUGAGGUCUUUGAUUCCAGACCUUUUUAGGUCUAGCCACUGACCACAAAGACACAGGCAUUUAGGGCGACAGCACCAAAUGACACCACCACUACCACAGCAGCUACGUUGAGACUUACCAACUUCGUGCAACAGCAUUACGGCAACCUCUUUCAUCGCCACCAUCAAAUGUCGUCAACAUCAUCUCUCUAUAUACACAGCUCAGUUCACUGUCUGAAUUAUUUCACUACGAAUCAACAGUGAAUAUACAACCUGCAUGAACUCCUGUAUCAAGUGACCCAGGCAGUAGCAUCAUAGUCAUGACGUCACGUAUGACAUGUACCUGUAACUGACUCAGCAUCAUGGCUGCGACUUCUGGAUAGAGUAUUUCAACUAUUGUGCAUGACUGACUAUGAACUGAUAUUAUCUUUUUUGUGCCUAUGAGCUUACUUCUCACUUCGAUGGUUAUAGACUCUGUCACUGUCUUCUUAGUGCCAUCCUUAAAUGUACUUAACACACGUGCAUACAUCUAUGCCUACACACACAUACACUUUGUUCUCAUGAUGGCCUGUCUAUUAUUCUGUAUACAUGAUGCACACAUGGACACACAUGUUACUACAUCAAUGAAUGUUCUCUUAACCAUU